Molecule: long non-coding RNA, 202 nt
Filed under: Struthio camelus australis
Lineage: Eukaryota; Metazoa; Chordata; Aves; Struthioniformes; Struthionidae
Description: lncRNA (ENSSCUG00000005112.1)
Source: RNAcentral
AAUUUUCUUAUAUUACUAGAUGCAUCGUACAAUGCCCUGAGCAAGGCAGCAGCAUAGUAGUCAUAACUGAAGGAUGAUUACAGUACUCCUGCAUUUCCACACAAAGGCUUUCUGUAAAUGUAAACAGGUACUGCACUUCUCAGGAUCGAGGAGUCUUGCCUUGUCUAUUGCAGUGGAAAACAACAAACUUUCAUUGAUUUAA